RNAcentral lists this ribosomal RNA (329 nucleotides) under uncultured eukaryote. RNAcentral's name for it is "partial 18S ribosomal RNA". It matches the Rfam family "Eukaryotic small subunit ribosomal RNA", at positions 1470 to 1796 of the family's 1831-position model. The record is from RNAcentral.
CCCUUAGAUGUCCUGGGCCGCACGCGCGCUACACUGAGUGUCUGAGAUACGAGUCUGCCUGGUCCGGCAAGGUCUAGGUAAUCGCUAAAAGACACAUCAUGCUUGGGAUAGAUUAUUGCAAAUAUUAAUCUUGAACGAGGAAUUCCUAGUAAGCGCAAGUCAACAGCUUGCGUUGAUUACGUCCCUGCCCUUUGUACACACCGCCCGUCGCUACUACUGAUUGGGUGUGCUGGUGAAAUGUUCGGAUCGGCCGUUUGUCGCGGUUUCCGCGUCAUGUGGCUGAGAAGUUCAUUAAACCCUCCCACCUAGAGGAAGGAGAAGUCGUAACA